Molecule: ribosomal RNA, 838 nt
Filed under: uncultured bacterium
Lineage: Bacteria
Description: bacterial SSU rRNA
Rfam family: Bacterial small subunit ribosomal RNA
Source: RNAcentral
CGUUGGCGGUGCGCCUUAUGCAUGCAAGUCGAACGGGGUUACGGUUUUCGGAUUGUAACCUAGUGGCGAACGGCUGAGUAACACGUAAGCAACCUACCUUGGAGUGGGAAAUAACCUGUCGAAAGGCAGACUAAUGUCCCAUGUGGUAACGAAGCGCAUGCUUUGUUACUAAAGCCUUCGGGUGCUACGAGAGGGGCUUGCGUCCGAUUAGCUUGUUGGUGGGGUAACGGCCUACCAAGGCAGUGAUCGGUAGCUGGUCUGAGAGGAUGGUCAGCCAGAUGGGGACUGAGACACGGCCCCAACUCCUACGGGAGGCAGCAGCAAGGAAUCUUGGGCAAUGGGCGGAAGCUUGACCCAGCGACACCGCGUGAGGGAUGAAGGCCUUCGGGUUGUAAACCUCUUUUCUUGGGGAAGAAUUAUGACGGUACCCAAGGAAUAAGCCUCGGCCAACUACGUGCCAGCAGCCGCGGUAAUACGUAGGAGGCGAACGUUAUUCGGAUUUACUGGGCGUAAAGGGAGCGUAGGCGGCUCGUUAAGUCAUGCGUAAAAUCUUCCGACUUAAUCGGAAGGGGCCGUGUGGAUACUGGCGGGCUUGAGAGCAACAGAGGGAAAUGGAAUCCCCAGUGUAGCGGUGAAAUGCGUAGAUAUUGGGGAGAACACCCAGUGGCGAAGGCGAUUUUCCAGGUUGUUUCUGACGCUGAGGCUCGAAAGCGUGGGGGAGCGAAGCGGAUUAGAUACCCGCGUAGUCCACGCCCUAAACGGUGGNACACUAGAUAUGGGAGGUAUCGNACCCCUUCCGUGUCGAAGCUNACGCUUUAAGUGUCCCGCCUGGGGAGUA